CCUACGGGAGGCAGCAGUGGGGAAUAUUGCACAAUGGGGGAAACCCUGAUGCAGCGACGCCGCGGGGGUGAAGAAGUAAUUCGUUACGUAAAGCUCUAUCAGCAGGGAAGAAACACUGACCUUACGGUCAGCAGACGGUACCUGAGUAAGAAGCCCCGGCUAACUACGUGCAAGCAGCCGCGGUAAUACGUAGGGGGCAAGCGUUAUCCGGAUUUACUGGGGGUAAAGGGAGCGUAGACGGUGCGCCAAGGCUGGAGAGAAAUGCCGCAGCUUAACUGCGGAACUGCUUUGGAAACUGGCGAACUAGAGUGCGGGAGGGGUAAGCGGAAUUCCUAGUGUAGCGGUGAAAUGCGUAGAUAUUAGGAGGAACACCGGUGGCGAAGGCGGCUUACUGGACCGUAACUGACGUUGAGGCUCGAAAGCGUGGGGAGCAAACAGGAUUAGAUACCCGAGUAGUC
Molecule: ribosomal RNA, 458 nt
Filed under: uncultured bacterium
Lineage: Bacteria
Description: partial 16S ribosomal RNA
Rfam family: Bacterial small subunit ribosomal RNA
Source: RNAcentral